UGCCCAGCAACUCCUAUCCUACCUCCUCGUGGUACUGGCCGGGGUACGAGUAACCUUGGGGAAGGUCGGAUAACCAAACCCCGGUGGGAACUUUGGUCGUAUGCUGACAGGGAAGG
This is a non-coding RNA of Aedes aegypti (yellow fever mosquito), 116 nucleotides long. The record is from Rfam. Lineage: Eukaryota; Metazoa; Arthropoda; Insecta; Diptera; Culicidae.